CACGUAGGGGGCGAGCGUUGUCCGGAUUUAUUGGGCGUAAAGGGCUCGUAGGCGGCUCAGUAAGUCGGGUGUGAAACCUCCAGGCUCAACCUGGAGACGCCACUCGAUACUGCUGUGGCUAGAGUCCGGUAGGGGAGCAUGGAAUUCCUGGUGUAGCGGUGAAAUGCGCAGAUAUCAGGAGGAACACCAAUGGCGAAGGCAGCUCGCUGGGACGUGACUGACGCUGAGACGCGAAAGCGUGGGGAGCAAACAGG
RNAcentral lists this ribosomal RNA (254 nucleotides) under uncultured bacterium. RNAcentral's name for it is "partial 16S ribosomal RNA". It matches the Rfam family "Bacterial small subunit ribosomal RNA", at positions 524 to 776 of the family's 1533-position model. The record is from RNAcentral.